UAUUUUUCAUUUCAGAUUGCUCAGAGAGGAGAGGUCAUUCAGGUCAAAGUACUGGGAACGAUGGCCCUGAUUGACGAGGGAGAAACUGACUGGAAGAUUCUGGCUAUUGAUGUUAGAGAUCCCCUCUCUGAUCUAAUGAAUGAUGUUGGUGAUAUUGAAAGGCUGAUGCCCGGGUUUCUCAAGGUAUUUUGUUUGGUUU
Molecule: long non-coding RNA, 199 nt
Organism: Anneissia japonica
Lineage: Eukaryota; Metazoa; Echinodermata; Crinoidea; Comatulida; Comatulidae
Exons: 3
Source: RefSeq, a predicted model, not a curated record